UUAAUUGAAGCCAAAUAGAGGCAUAUUAUUGUUAAUAAUAUCAUUGAAAAAUUCUCCAAUUAAA
RNAcentral lists this transfer RNA (64 nucleotides) under Loxilobus prominenoculus. Its description in RNAcentral is "tRNA-Asn". Lineage: Eukaryota; Metazoa; Arthropoda; Insecta; Orthoptera; Tetrigidae. The record is from RNAcentral.